CUUUGAUGCCUUGACCUUGGCAAGCUUGAAUAUCAGAGCUUAAACCAGUGCAACCAUUAGAACUAGGAACACAAUGACCGGCUAGGUUCAGCACAGGAGUUUGGCCAUUCCCAAAAUUAGACAAGAAAGCUACGUUCACAUAUUGAUAGUUUCCCGAGGCACAAGUUUCAGCCAAGGUGCCUUCAUUGCCAUUUUGGCCCCAAUAGAUGGCAAUACCUGCUCCAGAAGAGGGGUUGCAUAAGGUAAGAACUAAGAGGGAGAUAAGUAGGGUGAUAGGUUGUGAAUAAUGGUAGGCCAUUUUCUUUGACAUCUAACGUGUAAGUAGCUUG
This 329-nucleotide unclassified non-coding RNA is filed under the name Hevea brasiliensis (rubber tree). Lineage: Eukaryota; Viridiplantae; Streptophyta; Magnoliopsida; Malpighiales; Euphorbiaceae. The record is from RNAcentral.